GGGGGGGGGGGGGGGGGGGGGGGGGGGGGGGGGGGGGAGGGGGGGGGCGGGGGGGUGGGGGGUGCGCGGGGGGCGGGGGGGGGGGGAGGACGGGGGUGACCUGCCCUUGACUUGGGGGUGACUUCUGGGGGCUGGGGCUGAUACCGGCUGGGAGCUCCUGCUGCCUGGUGGGGGUUGGGAAGUUUCGGCGGUUGGGGAUGGACUCGCGGCUUAUCGGCUUGUUGGUGGGGUAGGGGCUUACCAAGGCUUUGACGGGUAGCCGGCCUGAGAGGGUGAACGGCCACAUUGGGACUGAGAUACGGCCCAGACGCCUACGGGAGGCAGCAGGGGGGAAUAUGGCAGAAUGGGCGGAAGCCUGAUGCAGCAACGCCGCGUGCGGGAUGACGGCCUUCGGGUUGUAAACCGCUGUCGCCGGUGACGAAGCGUGAGUGACGGUAAUGGGUAAAGAAGCACCGGCUAACUACGUG
RNAcentral lists this ribosomal RNA (467 nucleotides) under uncultured bacterium. Its description in RNAcentral is "partial 16S ribosomal RNA". The stretch from base 55 to 467 matches the Rfam family "Bacterial small subunit ribosomal RNA", at positions 39 to 507 of the family's 1533-position model. The record is from RNAcentral.